This 253-nucleotide ribosomal RNA is filed under the name uncultured bacterium. RNAcentral describes it as "partial 16S ribosomal RNA". It matches the Rfam family "Bacterial small subunit ribosomal RNA", at positions 524 to 776 of the family's 1533-position model. The record is from RNAcentral.
UACGGAGGGGGCCAGCGUUGUUCGGAAUCAUUGGGCGUAAAGGGCGCCUAGGUGGCCAAGCAAGUCGGACGUGAAAGCCCUCGGCUCAACCGGGGAAUUGCAUCCGAAACUGCUCGGCUUGAGUCCUGGAGAGGGUAGCGGAAUUCCCAGUGUAGCGGUGAAAUGCGUAGAUACUGGGAGGAACACCGGUGGCGAAGGCGGCUACCUGGACAGGUACUGACACUGACGCGCGAAAGCGUGGGGAGCAAACAGG